This 251-nucleotide ribosomal RNA is filed under the name uncultured bacterium. RNAcentral describes it as "partial 16S ribosomal RNA". It matches the Rfam family "Bacterial small subunit ribosomal RNA", at positions 526 to 776 of the family's 1533-position model. The record is from RNAcentral.
CGAAGGGGGCUAGCGUUGCUCGGAAUCACUGGGCGUAAAGGGUGCGUAGGCGGGUUUUUAAGUCAGGGGUGAAAUCCUGGAGCUCAACUCCAGAACUGCCUUUGAUACUGAAGAUCUUGAGUCCGGGAGAGGUGAGUGGAACUGCGAGUGUAGAGGUGAAAUUCGUAGAUAUUCGCAAGAACACCAGUGGCGAAGGCGGCUCACUGGCCCGGUACUGACGCUGAGGCACGAAAGCGUGGGGAGCAAACAGG